This 449-nucleotide ribosomal RNA is filed under the name uncultured bacterium. Its description in RNAcentral is "partial 16S ribosomal RNA". It matches the Rfam family "Bacterial small subunit ribosomal RNA", at positions 29 to 523 of the family's 1533-position model. The record is from RNAcentral.
AACGAACGCUGGCGGCAUGCCUAACACAUGCAAGUCGAACGAGAUCUUCGGGUCUAGUGGCGCACGGGUGCGUAACGCGUGGGAAUCUGCCCUUUGGUUCGGAAUAACAGUUGGAAACGACUGCUAAUACCGGAUGAUGACGAAAGUCCAAAGAUUUAUAGCCAGAGGAUGGGGCCGCGGAGGAUUAGCUAGUUGGUGUGGUAAAGGCGCACCAAGGCGACGAUCCUUAGCUGGUCUGAGAGGAUAAUCAGCCACACUGGGACUGAGACACGGCCCAGACUCCUACGGGAGGCAGCAGUGGGGAAUAUUGGACAAUGGGCGAAAGCCUGAUCCAGCAAUGCCGCGUGAGUGAUGAAGGCCUUAGGGUUGUAAAGCUCUUUUACCCGGGAUGAUAAUGACAGUACCGGGAGAAUAAGCUCCGGCUAACUCCGUGCCAGCCGCCGCGGUAA